RNAcentral lists this ribosomal RNA (236 nucleotides) under uncultured Lactobacillus sp. RNAcentral's name for it is "partial 16S ribosomal RNA". It matches the Rfam family "Bacterial small subunit ribosomal RNA", at positions 127 to 356 of the family's 1533-position model. Lineage: Bacteria; Bacillati; Bacillota; Bacilli; Lactobacillales; Lactobacillaceae. The record is from RNAcentral.
UGCCCCAUAGUCUGGGAUACCACUUGGAAACAGGUGCUAAUACCGGAUAAGAAAGCGGAUCGCAUGAUCAGCUUUUAAAAGGCGGCGUAAGCUGUCGCUAUGGGAUGGCCCCGCGGUGCAUUAGCUAGUUGGUAAGGUAAAGGCUUACCAAGGCGAUGAUGCAUAGCCGAGUUGAGAGACUGAUCGGCCACAUUGGGACUGAGACACGGCCCAAACUCCUACGGGAGGCAGCAGUG